Long non-coding RNA from Gadus macrocephalus (Pacific cod), 1361 nucleotides. RefSeq lists it as uncharacterized. NCBI's taxonomy places the organism in Eukaryota, Metazoa, Chordata, Actinopteri, Gadiformes, Gadidae. The record is from RefSeq and is a predicted model, not a curated record. The transcript has 3 exons.
UGAGGCAAUACGGCUAUUUGGACACAGACUUCUAUUACACCACGCCCACUCCGGCCCGUUCGCCAAUCAUUGCUUGUCGAGGGGAUAAAAGUAGGCCGUGCCCUUCCUCCUGAACUCUCGCUUCCUGCCUCUUCGGCCCGUCCAUUUCCGGGUCGUUGCCCUCGCCGCUCACCUCAGAGCACAGAUCUGCCGAGAUCCUCAUCACAAUCGGGGCAAUGUAUUGGGGUCGUUUACCGCCGCUGACCAGAGCAUAGUCUGCUUGUCGCAUGGUGCGUGGUGGCUGUCUCCCCCGCUACGCCGAUACUCUUCACCCCUCUCCCUCUUUAGAAGGGACGCAUAAUGAUCAGACUGAGAACCGGGAUUAAGAACGCAAAACCGAGAAUACCUUCCUUGGUUAUUUACUGAUUGUCGCUUAAUUGUCAUUGCUGCUGCUUCGUUGCCACUUCCGCCGACUUGGUUCGGGGCUCUGUCUACUGCCCCUGGUCGGCUUGCCUCCAGCUGCUAGCCCUGUGGCCCGCUGCUGCUGUGCGUGGUGCGGUGUGUGCCUGACCUGUGUGGCUGCCGCUCGGGUGUGCCGCUGCGAGCUCCGCCUGGACUCACCCCUGGUUUGGAGUGUGUGUGUGCGUGUGUGUGUGCGUUUUGAGUUAAUCUCUUAAGUUUUGUGUCGUUGUUCAUUUAAUUUUCAUUUGGAAGGGAAACUUCUCAAUCUGAGCCCUUGUUUAUUUUUGUUUAAAACAUAUGUUAUGUUUACUUGUUGAGUUGAUAUCUCUGGUCCGAGGCUUUUUAAUUUUCUUGUUUUCUUUCAUUUUGAGUGAUUUUUGGUUAUUGCAAAUUAAUACUCUUUAGUUUAUUGAUUUGAUUUGUUAUGUGAUAUUGUCUGUCAGUUGUGAGCCCUCCUAACUGUGCCCCUUUCUCGUAGAGCUGAAGGCCGACGGUGGUGGCGGUGGUCCUCCUGGGUGGUGGUGGUGAUCCUUCGUGUGCGUGUGCUUUGUUUUAGAUUUUAUUCAUUUGGACUUCACGUUUUUGCUGUGUGUGUGAGGUGCCCUUGUUUCUUUCGUUGGAUUUAAUUUCCCCCUGACGACCACUCUCCCAGCCGGUAAGCCUCAGCUUGCACCUACGUCCUUCCCCAGUUGGGCUUACUUCUCUUUUUCAUCUUUUAUGCCAAACUGUGUUUAUAAUAAUAAAAUGCUUUGUUAUAUUUGAACUCUGUCUCCCGCCCUCCCUGAUUGAACGAACCUGAUAGUCUUAUCGUCAGAGGUGACAAUUAUACUCGUAGUGUAUAGGUCCUUGGGCCCUAACCCAAGGUGGCGUUGUCGGUAACAGAGAAAAUACUCUGACAUAAAAUAGUAAAGCCUCCUCGU